AGAACGAACGCUGGCGGCAGGCUUAACACAUGCAAGUCGAGCGCCCCGCAAGGGGAGCGGCAGACGGGUGAGUAACGCGUGGGAACAUACCCUCCGGUUCGGAAUAACUCAGGGAAACUUGAGCUAAUACCGGAUACGGUCGAGAGGCGAAAGAUUUAUCGCCGGAGGAUUGGCCCGCGUCCGAUUAGCUAGUUGGUGUGGUAAUGGCGCACCAAGGCGACGAUCGGUAGCUGGUCUGAGAGGAUGAUCAGCCACAUUGGGACUGAGACACGGCCCAAACUCCUACGGGAGGCAGCAGUGGGGAAUAUUGGACAAUGGGCGAAAGCCUGAUCCAGCCAUGCCGCGUGAGUGAUGAAGGCCUUAGGGUUGUAAAGCUCUUUCGCCCACGACGAUAAUGACGGUAGUGGGAGAAGAAGCCCGGCUAACUUCGCGCCAGCAGCCGC
This 443-nucleotide ribosomal RNA is filed under the name uncultured bacterium. RNAcentral's name for it is "SSU rRNA". It matches the Rfam family "Bacterial small subunit ribosomal RNA", at positions 26 to 518 of the family's 1533-position model. The record is from RNAcentral.